This 486-nucleotide ribosomal RNA is filed under the name uncultured bacterium. RNAcentral describes it as "partial 16S ribosomal RNA". It matches the Rfam family "Bacterial small subunit ribosomal RNA", at positions 28 to 507 of the family's 1533-position model. The record is from RNAcentral.
GAUGAACGCUGGCGGCGUGCCUAAUACAUGCAAGUCGAACGCUGGAGAUCUAGCUUGCUAGAUCGAAGGAGUGGCGAACGGGUGAGUAAUACAUAAGCAACCUACCCACGAAGACUGGGAUAAUCUCUGGAAACGGGGACUAAUACCGGAUAGGUAAUCGGAAGGCAUCUUCUGGUUAUUAAAGGUUAAAAACACUGGUGGAUGGGCUUAUGGCGCAUUAGUUAGUUGGUGAGGUAACGGCCCACCAAGACGAUGAUGCGUAGCCGGCCUGAGAGGGUGAACGGCCACAUUGGGACUGAGACACGGCCCAGACUCCUACGGGAGGCAGCAGUAGGGAAUUCUCGGCAAUGGGGGCAACCCUGACCGAGCAACGCCGCGUGAGUGAAGACGGCCUUCGGGUUGUAAAGCUCUGUUGUAAGGGAAGAACGGUAGAUAGAGAAUAUCUAAGUGACGGUACCUUACCAGAAAGCCACGGCUAACUACGUG